GGCAAUAGCGACUGUCACCCGAGUUAUAUUUUACUUCUAUAUUUAGUAAUUUAUAAUAAAUGGUUCAGUUAGAUGAUCAUAUUUGUUGUUUGAAUAUUCGUGAAUUGUUCGUAUUGAUGAUUUCCAUUAUGCAUGUGAUUAGAGUUUGUGAAUCUGGAUGUUGGUUUUAUGGAUACUUGAUUUUCGUGUAUUUACGCAUCGUAGUUUUCUAUCCCUCAAGGUAGUCGGUUUUCAAAAUGGAGUUUCCGAGUGGGAAACAGUUUUAAAAAGAUUUUCGAAUGGCUUUUGGUGAAUGAUUGAAUUAGAGUUUAAAAACAAAGCUUCCGGAUGGGGGGCACUUUUAAAUAGGAUGACUGUUGUACUGUGCAUCGCAUUAUCCAGCGCCUAAGGAGUGUUUAGAGGCAUGCAUCAUUUCUAAGGAUCGCUAGCUGUAUGGAAAUGCAUGGCAUGAAUGGUUUGUUAAUUGGUAAAUGUAGACUGUGGUUGUGAUCCUGUUGACGUAGCUGUUGGUACGCC
This 516-nucleotide long non-coding RNA is filed under the name Ananas comosus (pineapple). RNAcentral describes it as "long non-coding RNA (ACOM_LNC006990)". Lineage: Eukaryota; Viridiplantae; Streptophyta; Magnoliopsida; Poales; Bromeliaceae. The record is from RNAcentral.